GACGAACGCUGGCGGCGUGCCUAAUACAUGCAAGUAGAACGCUGAAGGAGGAGCUUGCUCUUCUGGAUGAGUUGCGAACGGGUGAGUAACGCGUAGGUAACCUGCCUGGUAGCGGGGGAUAACUAUUGGAAACGAUAGCUAAUACCGCAUAACAGUAGAUGUUGCAUGACAUUUGCUUAAAAGGUGCAAUUGCACCACUACCAGAUGGACCUGCGUUGUAUUAGCUAGUUGGUGGGGUAACGGCUCACCAAGGCGACGAUACAUAGCCGACCUGAGAGGGUGAUCGGCCACACUGGGACCGAGACACGGCCCAGACUCCUACGGGAGGCAGCAGUAGGGAAUCUUCGGCAAUGGACGGAAGUCUGACCGAGCAACGCCGCGUGAGUGAAGAAGGUUUUCGGAUCGUAAAGCUCUGUUGUAAGAGAAGAACGAGUGUGAGAGUGGAAAGUUCACACUGUGACGGUAUCUUACCAGAAAGGGACGGCUAACUACGUG
Molecule: ribosomal RNA, 495 nt
Filed under: uncultured bacterium
Lineage: Bacteria
Description: partial 16S ribosomal RNA
Rfam family: Bacterial small subunit ribosomal RNA
Source: RNAcentral